RNAcentral lists this ribosomal RNA (470 nucleotides) under uncultured bacterium. RNAcentral describes it as "bacterial SSU rRNA". It matches the Rfam family "Bacterial small subunit ribosomal RNA", at positions 58 to 521 of the family's 1533-position model. The record is from RNAcentral.
CAAGUCGAACGGCAGCACGGGGGCAACCCUGGUGGCGAGUGGCGAACGGGUGAGUAAUACAUCGGAACGUGUCCUGUAGUGGGGGAUAGCCCGGCGAAAGCCGGAUUAAUACCGCAUACGAUCUGUGGAUGAAAGCGGGGGAUCCUUCGGGACCUCGCGCUACAGGGGCGGCCGAUGGCAGAUUAGCUAGUUGGUGGGGUAAAGGCCUACCAAGGCGACGAUCUGUAGCUGGUCUGAGAGGACGACCAGCCACACUGGGACUGAGACACGGCCCAGACCCCUACGGGAGGCAGCAGUGGGGAAUUUUGGACAAUGGGCGAAAGCCUGAUCCAGCAAUGCCGCGUGUGUGAAGAAGGCCUUCGGGUUGUAAAGCACUUUUGUCCGGAAAGAAAACCUCGUGGUUAAUACCCGUGGGGGAUGACGGUACCGGAAGAAUAAGCACCGGCUAACUACGUGCCAGCAGCCGCGGU